AACACUGUUAACCUGCGGUACCUGCGGAAGGAUCAUUGCUGGAACGCGCUUCGGCGCACCCAGAAACCCUUUGUGAACUUAUACCUAUUUGUUGCCUCGGCGUAGGCCGGCCUCUUCACUGAGGCCCCCUGGAAACAGGGAGCAGCCCGCCGGCGGCCAACUAAACUCUUGUUUCUGUAGUGAAUCUCUGAGUAAAAACAUAAAUGAAUCAAAACUUUCAACAAUGGAUCUCAGAUCGGA
RNAcentral lists this unclassified non-coding RNA (240 nucleotides) under soil metagenome. RNAcentral's name for it is "partial contains 5.8S ribosomal RNA, internal transcribed spacer 2, and large subunit ribosomal RNA". The record is from RNAcentral.